This 690-nucleotide ribosomal RNA is filed under the name Triticum aestivum (bread wheat). RNAcentral's name for it is "partial small subunit ribosomal RNA". The record is from RNAcentral. Lineage: Eukaryota; Viridiplantae; Streptophyta; Magnoliopsida; Poales; Poaceae.
AUGGAUAAUAAGAGACUGUUUGAUGGUGAAAGAAUUUAUGCUCAUGGUGACUACCUCAAGUGUGCCAGAAUGGCUGCUGUUAAACAAGAGGAGGUAGACACAACCAAUGAUACCAGCGGUGGCCAAAUUACCCAUGACGAACCACUAUGUCGGAAGCACAAUAAGCGAUACGAGUAUAUUCAUCGCCCAUGCAAAGCAAGCUCAAUCCAAAAUUUCAAAGGCAAGAAAAUCCAUCUAAAGCCCAGAAAGUUCAUUCUUCAUGGUGAGCCUUGCAAGCACUACUUAGAUGAGUUUAGUCACCUCGUUGUGUGGGGCAACACAGUUAGGCUCUACAACCAUAAUGUUCGUGCACUGCAAAAGAUCAUCCACAACACCACCACGCCUAAUAACUACUAUGUGUGCCACAUGACAGAAACAUUUGCAACACAAGGCAAAAGAAUGUAUUUUAAUGUCCACUUUUCUACGGGUUCCCUUUUCCCACACAUGGAUGCUGACCGCGGUGAACUUCCAAUCACAACUGGAGAUGGAACAAUCACUGUCACAGCCCGCUUUAUCAAGGGAGUUGACAAAAGGGCCACCAUCACUAAAGGCUGGAGCGACUUCUUCCGUCGGACCCACAUGAACGAAGGGCAAGCAUAUGCUUUCGGAUUCAAAUGCACUUCCAAGGGAUUGUACCUGAUUGUCUACUAA